UGGGGAAUUUUGGACAAUGGGCGAAAGCCUGAUCCAGCCAUGCCGCGUGAGUGAAGAAGGCCUUCGGGUUGUAAAGCUCUUUUAGUCGGAAAGAAAAGAUCAUAAUGAACAAUUAUGAUUCAUGACGGUACCGACAGAAAAAGCACCGGCUAACUACGUGCCAGCAGCCGCGGUAAUACGUAGGGUGCGAGCGUUAAUCGGAAUUACUGGGCGUAAAGGGUGCGCAGGCGGUUUUGUAAGUCAGAUGUGAAAGCCCCGGGCUUAACCUGGGAAUUGCGUUUGAAACUACAAGACUAGAGUGCAGCAGAGGGGAGUGGAAUUCCAUGUGUAGCAGUGAAAUGCGUAGAGAUGUGGAAGAACACCGAUGGCGAAGGCAGCUCCCUGGGUUGACACUGACGCUCAUGCACGAAAGCGUGGGGAGCAAACA
Molecule: ribosomal RNA, 427 nt
Filed under: uncultured beta proteobacterium
Lineage: Bacteria; Pseudomonadati; Pseudomonadota; Betaproteobacteria
Description: bacterial SSU rRNA
Rfam family: Bacterial small subunit ribosomal RNA
Source: RNAcentral